UUUACCUGAAUAUUACGGGUUAAUAAUUUAUAUGAAUAGGUAUUGAAUAUUUGUAAAAUUAUUUGUCACUUAAAACUUAAAAAACUUGGCGGUGCUUUAUUUCCUUCCAGGGGAACCUGUCCUGUAAUCGAUGAUCCACGAUUUAACUUACUUUUUUUUGAAUUAUUAAUAAUUAAAUUAUCAGUUUGUAUACCGUCGUCGUCAGAUUACCUUUAAGAGUAAAAAAGUUGUCAUUUAAAAUAUAAAGUGUUACUUCGGUAGAUUUUAACAUUUUUGGCUUCUGAUGUCAGAUCAAGGUGCAGCUCAUAGAAAAGUAGAGAUGGGUUACAAUAUAAAUUUUAUAUAAUGGAUGCUAAUGUGUAAUAAUUAGAUGAAAGUGGACUUGGGAGUAAUAUAAUUUAUAUUUUUAUUUAAAUUAGAUAGUUUAUGUGAAUAAAGGUACUAAAGUGCGUACACAUCGC
RNAcentral lists this ribosomal RNA (461 nucleotides) under Trochidae gen. 2 sp. 2 KMD-2016. RNAcentral describes it as "partial 12S ribosomal RNA". Lineage: Eukaryota; Metazoa; Mollusca; Gastropoda; Trochida; Trochidae. The record is from RNAcentral.